Molecule: ribosomal RNA, 253 nt
Filed under: uncultured bacterium
Lineage: Bacteria
Description: partial 16S ribosomal RNA
Rfam family: Bacterial small subunit ribosomal RNA
Source: RNAcentral
UACGGAGGGAGCUAGCGUUGUUCGGAAUGACUGGGCGUAAAGCGCGCGUAGGCGGAUCAUCAAGUCGGGGGUGAAAUCCCGGGGCUCAACCCCGGAAUGGCCUUCGAGACUGGUGGUCUUGAGUUCGAGAGAGGUGAGUGGAAUUCCGAGUGUAGAGGUGAAAUUCGUAGAUAUUCGGAAGAACACCAGUGGCGAAGGCGGCUGACUGGACAUGUAUUGACGCUGAGGUGCGAAAGCGUGGGGAGCAAACAGG